This 276-nucleotide long non-coding RNA is filed under the name Olea europaea (common olive). RNAcentral describes it as "long non-coding RNA (OEUR_LNC014459)". The record is from RNAcentral. Lineage: Eukaryota; Viridiplantae; Streptophyta; Magnoliopsida; Lamiales; Oleaceae.
GUCUAAGAUUGCCAAGCCUAAGAUCUAGUGAUGAGGGAAUUAAGAAUAUUUAAGAGCAGCAAACCUUGAUUUUAUUGUUCGGUUUUAGUUAGUUGUUCUCAAUAAUUAGUUAAUAUUUGACGUUUGAAUACAUAAGACUCUUAUAACCAUCACAUUCAAAAUUACAAUCCUUACAAACUUGCUAAAAAGUUAAUUUGUUUAAUGAAAUAUGGUGGCAGAGCCACUUCGGGUUAAGCACCGUUUCUAUCAACUAAAAAUAAUUUUGCAAUAUUAAUG